GAAGCCAUUCCCUGGUGACAAACCAUCUAAGGGUAAUGAAAAGGGAGCACCUCAUGAACCUAAACCUCCUCAUAGACACUUAUUGAGUGUGGAAGUUGAGGGCACACAUAAACCUCCACAACACUCAGGUGGUAAACCUCCACGACAUUCAGGGGGUAAACCUCCACAUGUUGAAGGAUUCCCUGGUGACAAACCAUCCAAGGGUAAGGGAAAGGGGGCACCUCAUGAACCCAAACCUCCUCACAGACACCUAUUGAGUGUGGAAGUUGAGGGCACACAUAAACCUCCACAACAAUCAGGUGGUAAACCUCCACGACAUUCAGGGGGUAAACCUCCACAUGUUGAAGGAUUCCCUGGUGACAAACCAUCCAAGGGUAAGGGAAAGGGAGCACCUCAUGAACCCAAACCUCCUCAUAGACACCUAUUGAAUGUCGAAGUUGAGGACACACAUAAGCCUCCACAACACUCAGGGGGUAAACCUCCACAUGUUGAAGGAUUCCCCGACGGUAAGCCACCCAUGAAACCAUUCCCCGGUGACAAACCAUCCAAGGGUAAGGGAAAGGGAGUACCUCAUGAACCUAAACCUCCUCAUAGACACCUCUUAAGUGAGCCACACAAAUAUGUGAUACCACCCAAAGGUAAGGGAGAGAAGCCUCCCCAUGAGCAGAAACCACACCAUGGACACCACCCAGGGCACCAUCUGGGAAUAGAAAAUUAAAGCAUAAAUCAUCCUAAGGUUCCCAUCAACCUACAGUUAGAAGAUCAUCAUCAGCGUGUAUGGUAGGACUAUUUUACUAUAGGAAUAACAGUUGAUGUUGAUUUAUCCUUUUAUUAGUUGUGUAGCUAUCUAGUUACGUAUAUUUUGUUCCUGGCUUGGAGGUUGUGCCGUGCCUACCUCAUGACUAUGUUGUUUUAGAAAUUCCAGCCUCAUCUAUGGUUCGACAUUUUAUGAUAUGAACUCUAUAUAUUAACUAGUUUGGGAUCUUUUGCUUUCUAAGUUUAUUUCACCUAUUGAACUAUCUAAC
Molecule: long non-coding RNA, 1025 nt
Filed under: Gossypium barbadense (sea-island cotton)
Lineage: Eukaryota; Viridiplantae; Streptophyta; Magnoliopsida; Malvales; Malvaceae
Description: long non-coding RNA (GBAR_LNC009035)
Source: RNAcentral